RNAcentral lists this ribosomal RNA (222 nucleotides) under Triticum aestivum (bread wheat). RNAcentral's name for it is "partial small subunit ribosomal RNA". The record is from RNAcentral. Lineage: Eukaryota; Viridiplantae; Streptophyta; Magnoliopsida; Poales; Poaceae.
AUGGAUACAAAAAUCCUAAACUGGAAUGUUAGAGGCCUCAACAGUCUGGCCCGGAGAAGGGCUGUCCACAAUUUAAUCUGCAGCUCUGCCUGUAAUAUCGUCUGUCUUCAGGAGAACAAAUUGGCUGUGGUGGACAAAUACAUCGUGGCCGAGUGCCUGGGCAGUAACUUCUCGGACAAUUUUAUUGCAAAGGAGGCUGUUGGUUCGCGUGGCGGAAUAAUU